RNAcentral lists this ribosomal RNA (468 nucleotides) under uncultured bacterium. RNAcentral describes it as "partial 16S ribosomal RNA". It matches the Rfam family "Bacterial small subunit ribosomal RNA", at positions 28 to 507 of the family's 1533-position model. The record is from RNAcentral.
GACGAACGCUGGCGGCGUGCUUAACACAUGCAAGUCGAACGGAGAGGCCCUGCUUUUGUGGUUUGCUCGAGUGGCGAACGGGUGAGUAACACGUGAGUAACCUGCCCUUGACUUUGGGAUAACUUCAGGAAACUGGGGCUAAUACCGGAUAGAAGCUCCGGCGGCAUGGUGGGGGUUGGAAAGUUGCGGCGGUUGGGGAUGGACUCGCGGCUUAUCAGCUUGUUGGUGGGGUGGUGGCUUACCAAGGCUUUGACGGGUAGCCGGCCUGAGAGGGUGACCGGCCACAUUGGGACUGAGAUACGGGCCAGACUCCUACGGGAGGCAGCAGUGGGGCAUAUUGCACAAUGGGCGGAAGCCUGAUGAAGCAACGCCGCGUGCGGGAUGACGGCCUUCGGGUUGUAAACCGCUUUCGCCUGUGACGAAGCGUGAGCGACGGUAAUGGGUAAAGAAGCACCGGCUAACUACGUG